This 426-nucleotide ribosomal RNA is filed under the name uncultured bacterium. RNAcentral's name for it is "partial 16S ribosomal RNA". It matches the Rfam family "Bacterial small subunit ribosomal RNA", at positions 354 to 796 of the family's 1533-position model. The record is from RNAcentral.
GUGAGGAAUUUUCCGCAAUGGGCGAAAGCCUGACGGAGCAAUGCCGCGUGAAGGAUGAAGGCCUAUGGGUUGUAAACUUCUUUUCUUAGAGAAGAAUAUUGACGGUAUCUGAGGAAUAAGCAUCGGCUAACUCUGUGCCAGCAGCCGCGGUAAGACAGAGGAUGCAAGCGUUAUCCGGAAUGAUUGGGCGUAAAGCGUCUGUAGGUGGCUUCAAAAGUCUCCUGUCAAAGAUCAGGGCUUAACCCUGGGCCGGCAGGAGAAACUCUGAGGCUAGAGUUUGGUAGGGGCAGAGGAAAUUCCCGGUGGAGCGGUGAAGUGCGUAGAGAUCGGGAGGAACACCAAAGGCGAAAGCACUCUGCUGGGCCACAACUGACACUGAGAGACGAAAGCGAGGGGAGCAAAAGGGAUUAGAAACCCGAGUAGUCC